UCACGUGCAAUUCCUUCUGACC
Molecule: non-coding RNA, 22 nt
Filed under: Arabidopsis thaliana (thale cress)
Lineage: Eukaryota; Viridiplantae; Streptophyta; Magnoliopsida; Brassicales; Brassicaceae
Source: RNAcentral